RNAcentral lists this long non-coding RNA (958 nucleotides) under Oryza sativa (Asian cultivated rice). Its description in RNAcentral is "long non-coding RNA (OSAT_LNC000042)". Lineage: Eukaryota; Viridiplantae; Streptophyta; Magnoliopsida; Poales; Poaceae. The record is from RNAcentral.
CUUGUUUGUCUCCCUUCCCAACUGUCAUGGGUUUAAUUUCCUUCAUUAGUGGGGCUCUUGAACUAAUGCCUGUGUACAAUUCCUGUGUUUGUCUUAUCUGCCUUGUGCAAGAAAAACUUGGUAUUAUUGCCUAAUGUUUACCCUUUCCCCCCUUGUUUCCGUCAGAUAUAACGCCUGAAUAUUCUCAAGAUCAAACACCAUCCCAAUCAAGAAAUGCCCUGCAUAAAGGAAUAUGUUCUCACUUGGCACCCAUUAAUUACCAUCGUUGUCAAUAAUCCUUUAACAAGUAAACAUCGGCCUAGAAGCAUCAUCCCUCCAUAAUUAAAGCCUCUUUUAGCUAACUAUGCAGUAUGUAACGAAAAAACAUGCAGCUAGCUUACUGACAUAAAUUCAGUAUCAGCAGACAUAUGAGAUGAACAUUAUAAGGGGGAAUGAUACAAAUCCUACUUGAUACAGAGAACUGCCUAGGAAUUACUGCGAGAUUUUUCAUCAAACCGAACAAAAGGUAUUCAGACAUAAGCACUGAAGUGAUUCUUCUACAUGGAAUCGCGAAAAAAAAAAAAGGAGGUGGGCGAAUUUUACCUAGUGCUUACGCGCGGAUGUGAAAUCCUCCCACGCAUCUGGCGGAGGCGAAAUCCCCAGUAAAAUUCAAGAUUCUGUUAGUUAUCCCCAAAUCCCCUUACUCUGAUCCCCCACCAAAGUUCAGACGAUUGAUCUAGCAAUCGAAGCUCAUAAGGCAGUAAGCUCACCUGCUGACGCCGACCUCUGCGGCAAAGGUUGCCCCGGACUCCGGACCAUGCAUCCUUCUUCUAGAACAUCCCGCCGCCGCCACUCCGGACUCCGGUGGUCGACGACGGCGAAGGGAAGGGAACCGUGGCGGCUGCUGUGGCGGCGGCGAAGUCGCCGAGACGUGGCUGCGGCUCUGGUGAGAAGUUGGGCUACAUGGGCCGAAACCGAA